Molecule: long non-coding RNA, 884 nt
Filed under: Drosophila guanche
Lineage: Eukaryota; Metazoa; Arthropoda; Insecta; Diptera; Drosophilidae
Source: RNAcentral
GUGGGUGGUUUGGGUUGCAGAGAGUCCUUGCUGUUGGUUAGAUUGUGACCCCCCCACAUACACUUACCCCCCCAGCUACGGCCGAAUGCAUAAAAAGCCAAGGACCAUAAAGGAUGACUAAGCCCAACUGGUGUUCAACUAAAGCGAAACUCUCUCGUGGCACACCCUGUAUAGCGGCACACAUUUUGCAGGCCCGGUUCGCCUGUCAGUCGGUCGCUCACUUUGCCAUUCAACGGCCCAAACCUCGCCCUCGAGCGGGUGGGAGGCGAUGGGGAUGGGGAAACACGGCACUCGUUGAGGGUGAAUGCCAGUCGCUUGUCCUCCCCCAAAAACCAGCCUCCUCCGCGCCGUCCCCGUCCCCGUUGUCGUUUGUUUGUCACAAUAGGGCAAAAGUUUCACUGUAACCGUUAUGCGACCCACAGACACCACUGCGCCUACCCACUCCACCCCCCGGCAGUGCCGGGCUAAGAGCAAGAGCCCAAAUGUCUGACAGGCGGCAAGAGCAACAACAACGAAAUGAAACCCACCACCCAGCCACCCAACCAUUCAACGACCCAACCAGCCAUCCUGCCAUCCAGCUACCACUGCCACAGCCAUCACCAGUGCAAGUGCCACCCAAUCAAGCCAACCACCCACUCUCAGCCGUCCUUACACCCAGCCCAGCCACCCACCACACGAGCUACGUUGUCGGCAUAACGAACACCACACACACACACACACACACACACACACACACACAAACACCAACAGAGAUGGGAUUGACAUGGAACGUGGGCACAGGCGAACAGAAAAUGCUCUAGCUGAAGCUAUUGAAAAGGGUACAUGAACGAUGAUUGGAGGUCUUUUGUCUUUUGGGGAAUUCGAUAUAACUUUUGAUGGUGAAC